CGUUAAGGAACUCGGCAAAAUGACCCCGUAACUUCGGGAGAAGGGGUGCUGACCGCAAGGUCAGCCGCAGUGAAUAGGCCCAAGCGACUGUUUAUCAAAAACACAGGUCUCUGCAAAAUCGAAAGAUGACGUAUAGGGGCUGACGCCUGCCCGGUGCUGGAAGGUUAAGAGGAGAGGUUAGCGCAAGCGAAGCUUUGAAUUGAAGCCCCAGUAAACGGCGGCCGUAACUAUAACGGUCCUAAGGUAGCGAAAUUCCUUGUCGGGUAAGUUCCGACCCGCACGAAAGGCGUAACGAUUUGGGCACUGUCUCAACGAGAGACUCGGUGAAAUUAUAGUACCAGUGAAGAUGCUGGUUACCCGCGACAGGACGGAAAGACCCCAUGGAGCUUUACUGCAGUUUGAUAUUGCGUGUUUGUAUCACAUGUACAGGAUAGGUAGGAGCCGAAGAUACCGGGACGCCAGUCUCGGAGGAGGCAACGGUGGGAUACUACCCUUGUGAUAUGACCACUCUAACCCGCUGCUCUUAGCGAGCAGGGAGACAGUGUCAGACGGGCAGUUUGACUGGGGCGGUCGCCUCCAAAAAUGUAACGGAGGCGCCCAAAGGUUCCCUCAGAAUGGUUGGAAAUCAUUCGUAGAGUGUAAAGGCAGAAGGGAGCUUGACUGCGAGACCUACAAGUCGAGCAGGGACGAAAGUCGGGCUUAGUGAUCCGGUGGUUCCGCAUGGAAGGGCCAUCGCUCAACGGAUAAAAGCUACCCUGGGGAUAACAGGCUUAUCUCCCCCAAGAGUUCACAUCGACGGGGAGGUUUGGCACCUCGAUGUCGGCUCAUCGCAUCCUGGGGCUGUAGUCGGUCCCAAGGGUUGGGCUGUUCGCCCAUUAAAGCGGUACGCGAGCUGGGUUCAGAACGUCGUGAGACAGUUCGGUCCCUAUCCGUCGCGGGCGUUGGAAAUUUGAGAGGAGCUGUCCUUAGUACGAGAGGACCGGGAUGGACACACCGCUGGUGUACCAGUUGUUCUGCCAAGAGCAUCGCUGGGUAGCUAUGUGUGGACGGGAUAAACGCUGAAAGCAUCUAAGCGUGAAGCCCCCCUCAAGAUGAGAUUUCCCAUCACUUUAAGUGAGUAAGACCCCUGAGAGAUGAUCAGGUAGAUAGGUUGGGAGUGGAAGUACAGCGAUGUAUGGAGCGGACCAAUACUAAUCGGUCGAGGACUUAAUCAA
RNAcentral lists this ribosomal RNA (1214 nucleotides) under metagenome. RNAcentral's name for it is "bacterial LSU rRNA". It matches the Rfam family "Bacterial large subunit ribosomal RNA", at positions 1703 to 2925 of the family's 2925-position model. The record is from RNAcentral.